CUAAAACUACCACCUAAACUAACCACCUAAUCUAAUUACCUAAACUAAUCACCUAAACUAAUUACUUAAACUAAUUACCUAAACUAACCACCUAAACCUAAAUUAAUAUUAAAAAAACAUACCUUUGAGAGAAGGAGAGUUUUAGUUUUCCUCUAAUCUGAUAGGUAAAACUUUAGGUUAGAGAAUAGAACCUCGAGAGGAGUGGUUUGAGAGGAAUUAAGGAGGCACUCCUCAUUCAUGUUUCGAGUUUAUAUAAGAAAACAACAUUCCUCGUAAAGUCGUCGUAAUUUUACUAGGAAUCUACCAGGCCCGCAUUUUUUAGUGUUACGAGAAAUCUACCAGGUCUGCGUUUUUAGAAUUACAACGAAUUUACAAUGAAAACUUUACAAUAAAAUUACAAGGAAAGCAUUACAACGAAUUUACAAGGACACAUGUAUUACGAGGAAGCUACCACACCCGUGUGUUUUCUAUUACGACGAAUUUACUAGAACUAUAUCUGAAACCCCGAAAAUCAAAUCCCUAAACCCCAAAAUCACUUAUCUAUAUACACCAUACCCUUUUACCACAUCAUCCCCUUUAUCCCAUUUUUUUCUUAAACC
RNAcentral lists this long non-coding RNA (599 nucleotides) under Brassica napus (rape). RNAcentral's name for it is "long non-coding RNA (BNAP_LNC023211)". Lineage: Eukaryota; Viridiplantae; Streptophyta; Magnoliopsida; Brassicales; Brassicaceae. The record is from RNAcentral.